RNAcentral lists this ribosomal RNA (2906 nucleotides) under Salmonella enterica subsp. enterica serovar Eastbourne. Its description in RNAcentral is "23S ribosomal RNA". It matches the Rfam family "Bacterial large subunit ribosomal RNA". The record is from RNAcentral. RNAcentral also lists the same sequence under 1 other name. Lineage: Bacteria; Pseudomonadati; Pseudomonadota; Gammaproteobacteria; Enterobacterales; Enterobacteriaceae.
GGUUAAGCGACUAAGCGUACACGGUGGAUGCCCUGGCAGUCAGAGGCGAUGAAGGGCGUGCUAAUCUGCGAUAAGCGCCGGUAAGGUGAUAUGAACCGUUAUAACCGGCGAUACCCGAAUGGGGAAACCCAGUGUGUUUCGACACACUAUCAUUAACUGAAUCCAUAGGUUAAUGAGGCGAACCGGGGGAACUGAAACAUCUAAGUACCCCGAGGAAAAGAAAUCAACCGAGAUUCCCCCAGUAGCGGCGAGCGAACGGGGAGGAGCCCAGAGCCUGAAUCAGCAUGUGUGUUAGUGGAAGCGUCUGGAAAGGCGCGCGAUACAGGGUGACAGCCCCGUACACAAAAGCGCAUGUGCUGUGAGCUCGAUGAGUAGGGCGGGACACGUGGUAUCCUGUCUGAAUAUGGGGGGACCAUCCUCCAAGGCUAAAUACUCCUGACUGACCGAUAGUGAACCAGUACCGUGAGGGAAAGGCGAAAAGAACCCCGGCGAGGGGAGUGAAAAAGAACCUGAAACCGUGUACGUACAAGCAGUGGGAGCACCCUUUGGGGUGUGACUGCGUACCUUUUGUAUAAUGGGUCAGCGACUUAUAUUCUGUAGCAAGGUUAACCGAAUAGGGGAGCCGGAGGGAAACCGAGUCUUAACCGGGCGUUAAGUUGCAGGGUAUAGACCCGAAACCCGGUGAUCUAGCCAUGGGCAGGUUGAAGGUUGGGUAACACUAACUGGAGGACCGAACCGACUAAUGUUGAAAAAUUAGCGGAUGACCUGUGGCUGGGGGUGAAAGGCCAAUCAAACCGGGAGAUAGCUGGUUCUCCCCGAAAGCUAUUUAGGUAGCGCCUCGUGAAUUCAUCUCCGGGGGUAGAGCACUGUUUCGGCUAGGGGGCCAUCCCGGCUUACCAACCCGAUGCAAACUGCGAAUACCGGAGAAUGUUAUCACGGGAGACACACGGCGGGUGCUAACGUCCGUCGUGAAGAGGGAAACAACCCAGACCGCCAGCUAAGGUCCCAAAGUCAUGGUUAAGUGGGAAACGAUGUGGGAAGGCCCAGACAGCCAGGAUGUUGGCUUAGAAGCAGCCAUCAUUUAAAGAAAGCGUAAUAGCUCACUGGUCGAGUCGGCCUGCGCGGAAGAUGUAACGGGGCUAAACCAUGCACCGAAGCUGCGGCAGCGACGCUGAUGCGUUGUUGGGUAGGGGAGCGUUCUGUAAGCCUGCGAAGGUGGCCUGUGAGGGUUGCUGGAGGUAUCAGAAGUGCGAAUGCUGACAUAAGUAACGAUAAAGCGGGUGAAAAGCCCGCUCGCCGGAAGACCAAGGGUUCCUGUCCAACGUUAAUCGGGGCAGGGUGAGUCGACCCCUAAGGCGAGGCCGAAAGGCGUAGUCGAUGGGAAACGGGUUAAUAUUCCCGUACUUGGUGUUACUGCGAAGGGGGGACGGAGAAGGCUAUGUUGGCCGGGCGACGGUUGUCCCGGUUUAAGCGUGUAGGUGUGUGUUCCAGGUAAAUCCGGUUCACUUUAACACUGAGGCGUGAUGACGAGGCACUACGGUGCUGAAGCAACAAAUGCCCUGCUUCCAGGAAAAGCCUCUAAGCAUCAGGUAACAUCAAAUCGUACCCCAAACCGACACAGGUGGUCAGGUAGAGAAUACCAAGGCGCUUGAGAGAACUCGGGUGAAGGAACUAGGCAAAAUGGUGCCGUAACUUCGGGAGAAGGCACGCUGACACGUAGGUGAAGUGAUUUACUCAUGGAGCUGAAGUCAGUCGAAGAUACCAGCUGGCUGCAACUGUUUAUUAAAAACACAGCACUGUGCAAACACGAAAGUGGACGUAUACGGUGUGACGCCUGCCCGGUGCCGGAAGGUUAAUUGAUGGGGUCAGCGCAAGCGAAGCUCCUGAUCGAAGCCCCGGUAAACGGCGGCCGUAACUAUAACGGUCCUAAGGUAGCGAAAUUCCUUGUCGGGUAAGUUCCGACCUGCACGAAUGGCGUAAUGAUGGCCAGGCUGUCUCCACCCGAGACUCAGUGAAAUUGAACUCGCUGUGAAGAUGCAGUGUACCCGCGGCAAGACGGAAAGACCCCGUGAACCUUUACUAUAGCUUGACACUGAACAUUGAGCCUUGAUGUGUAGGAUAGGUGGGAGGCUUUGAAGUGUGGACGCCAGUCUGCAUGGAGCCGACCUUGAAAUACCACCCUUUAAUGUUUGAUGUUCUAACGUGGACCCGUGAUCCGGGUUGCGGACAGUGUCUGGUGGGUAGUUUGACUGGGGCGGUCUCCUCCUAAAGAGUAACGGAGGAGCACGAAGGUUGGCUAAUCCUGGUCGGACAUCAGGAGGUUAGUGCAAUGGCAUAAGCCAGCUUGACUGCGAGCGUGACGGCGCGAGCAGGUGCGAAAGCAGGUCAUAGUGAUCCGGUGGUUCUGAAUGGAAGGGCCAUCGCUCAACGGAUAAAAGGUACUCCGGGGAUAACAGGCUGAUACCGCCCAAGAGUUCAUAUCGACGGCGGUGUUUGGCACCUCGAUGUCGGCUCAUCACAUCCUGGGGCUGAAGUAGGUCCCAAGGGUAUGGCUGUUCGCCAUUUAAAGUGGUACGCGAGCUGGGUUUAGAACGUCGUGAGACAGUUCGGUCCCUAUCUGCCGUGGGCGCUGGAGAACUGAGGGGGGCUGCUCCUAGUACGAGAGGACCGGAGUGGACGCAUCACUGGUGUUCGGGUUGUCAUGCCAAUGGCACUGCCCGGUAGCUAAAUGCGGAAGAGAUAAGUGCUGAAAGCAUCUAAGCACGAAACUUGCCCCGAGAUGAGUUCUCCCUGAGACUUAAAGUCUCCUGAAGGAACGUUGAAGACGACGACGUUGAUAGGCCGGGUGUGUAAGCGCAGCGAUGCGUUGAGCUAACCGGUACUAAUGAACCGUGAGGCUUAACCUU